AUUGAACGCUGGCGGCAUGCUUUACACAUGCAAGUCGAGCGGCAGCGCGGGGGCAACCCUGGCGGCGAGCGGCGAACGGGUGAGUAAUGCAUCGGAACGUAUCCUCGAGUGGGGGAUAACCCAGCGAAAGUUGGGCUAAUACCGCAUGAGCUCUGAGGAGGAAAGCGGGGGACCUGCGAGGGCCUCGCGCUGGAGGAGCGGCCGAUGUCCGAUUAGCUAGUUGGUGGGGUAAAGGCUUACCAAGGCGACGAUCGGUAGCUGGUCUGAGAGGAUGAUCAGCCACACUGGGACUGAGACACGGCCCAGACUCCUACGGGAGGCAGCAGUGGGGAAUUUUGGACAAUGGGGGCAACCCUGACCCAGCCAUGCCGCGUGAGUGAAGAAGGCCUUCGGGUUGUAAAGCUCUUUCGGACGGAACGAAAUGGGCGGGACUAAUACUCCUGUCUGAUGACGGUACCGUAAGAAGAAGCACCGGCUAACUACGUG
RNAcentral lists this ribosomal RNA (486 nucleotides) under uncultured bacterium. Its description in RNAcentral is "partial 16S ribosomal RNA". It matches the Rfam family "Bacterial small subunit ribosomal RNA", at positions 29 to 507 of the family's 1533-position model. The record is from RNAcentral.